CUCACUAUUUCUGCACGUGCGAUUGAUUGCGACUAAACCUCGUGGUUGAAAUUCAACUCUGUGGAGAAACUCCAACAUGGUGGCUUGUCCUUCCAGCCUAAGCGACUGAUGUCUCAACUCUUAAUUGACAACACAAACCAGCGAGAUUGAUGUGACCGACUGCUGAAUGUGCCAGCAGAUACACAGCACUAGAUUACUAACAGAAGCACUCAAAUAAACAAAUGUCUUUCACAUUUCAACUCUUAGUGACAACACAGCGAGACUGACUACUGCAUGCGUAUGUGGAGGUGCAAUACAAGCUCUAUAUCAUUAUAUAUGGACUGAACAGUGCAGUGUUGGAAGCAAGCACAUGUUAGACAAGUCUUAACUCUGCAAGAGUGUACUGGAGCUAGGUUGUUUCCCAAGGGGUAGUCACUCCAAUGCCAUUGAAAUUUGUAAACAAGAGUCUCUACAGUAUGAUGGGAGUUCAAUGAAGUUUUGGAUAACACCUGCAUGUCUUGUUGUUAUUGUCUGUUGGUCACCACCUGGGCACUCCCCUGGACUCUGAGACAACCCUCAGUUGUGAGAAACUGAUGAAAUAAUAAUGGCCUGUUGCUUGCAAGUUCGUUUCCCGUUUCUAUGCUAUCAAGAUCGUGACAGAAAUUAAAGUAGUGUGACUGUCUCUCUUCCUUCGACUGAGCUCUGUACGUAUCAGGUGGAUGAUUUUGAUCCCAUAUUCUCGUCACGGAAGAAGCUGCUCCCUAGACACAGUGACUUGAGCUUCUAUAACUGGGACACUAACUUCUCCUCGUCCAACUCCACUCCUAAUUAUCAGGUACGUGUGAGAAAUAUGAAGUACGUGGGUAUAAUAUAUAAGAGGUGGUUGCCAAAAUAUGUAUUAAUUACAUGUCGUCAUGUUUUCGUAGUUUUUCUUUGAAGGGCUAUAACUUGUGUUGGGAACGUCCAAUUUCAAAAAGCUAAUUAUUUUAUUAGUAGCUGUUUGGUAGUGCUACAAUAAUAUUAUGGUGUCCUUAUAUC
Halichondria panicea is the source of this 1017-nucleotide long non-coding RNA. RefSeq lists it as uncharacterized. The transcript has 6 exons. Lineage: Eukaryota; Metazoa; Porifera; Demospongiae; Suberitida; Halichondriidae. The record is from RefSeq and is a predicted model, not a curated record.